AAAAGAAUUUUGCAGCCUUUGGCUGUUAAUUCUUGUGAACUGGGUUCUUUUGAACCGUCUUUUUAUGUUUGUCUUGUUGUUUUUGUGGUUUUUAAUUACAAA
This 102-nucleotide unclassified non-coding RNA is filed under the name uncultured fungus. Its description in RNAcentral is "sequence contains ITS1". Lineage: Eukaryota; Fungi. The record is from RNAcentral.